AGGACAUCCUGAGGGAAGAGGUGUGAGGAGGCAGGGAGGGAGGAAAAAAAAUGCUGACCUUUGUUUUCCUUCACAUAUAAAAAUGAUAUAGAAAUCCCUAAUUUUGUUUUCCCUCUACCCCGGUUCUCCCUAUCCCCUCCCCUCGCCGGCGGCGCGCAGAUCGCGACUGCACCCUCGUCGACGAUCACCUCUGUCGAACCCUAGCAUCCACUUUAAGUUGCUUGUCGGUGCUGUCCUUCCCUCGCCGUCUCCAGCGGUUCUCCCUCGUCGCCCCAAGCUUCCGUCUUCUUCUCCAGCGGCGCUCGCUCCGCGCCUCCGGCGAAGUCGUGGGUGCGGGGGGCUUCCAGCGUCCAUGGUCGACAUCGACGAGUGCUCGGUGGCGCUCGUGCCCGAGCUCGAGCAUGCGCUGGCGAACCCGGACCCCUCCUCUAUCCCCCCGGACGCAUGGGCGCCUUUCGAGGCCGCCGCGCUCGGUGUCAUGUGCCGGAUCCAGCCAACCGUCGCCUCGGAGGGGCGCCGUGCGGCCGUUGUCGACUACAUCCAACGCCUCGUCAAGUGUUCCGUCGGCUGCUCGGUCUUUCCAUUUGGAUCCGUUCCACUGAAAACAUAUCUUCCUGAUGGAGAUAUUGACUUGGCUGCUUUCGGUUAUACAUGUUCUGAUGAAAGCCUGGCAAAUGAGGUACGUGCCAUUCUGGAAUCAGAAGAGCGGCGCGAAGAUGCUGAAUUUGAAAUCAAAGAUGUCCAGUAUAUAAAUGCUGAGGUCAAGCUAGUCAAAUGCUUUGUCCAAAAUAUUGUUGUCGACAUCUCAUUUAAUCAGAUUGGUGGACUAUAUACGCUUUGUUUUCUAGAGCAGGUGGAUCAAAGAUUUGAAAAAACCCACCUUUUCAAGAGAAGUAUAGUGCUUAUAAAAGCCUGGUGUUAUUAUGAAAGCCGCAUCCUUGGAGCCCACCAUGGUCUAAUUUCUACCUAUGCCUUGGAGACAUUAGUGCUAUAUAUCUUCCAUCUCUUCCAUGAGUCUUUGGAUGGUCCAUUAGCUGUACUCUAUAGGUUUCUGGACUAUUAUAGCAAGUUUGACUGGGAUAAUAGGGGUAUAAGCUUACAUGGUCCUAUUUCCUUGUCUUCCCUACCUGAGCUAGUUACCGACUCAUCAGGCAUUCAUGAUGAUUGUUUUCUUGAGCGGGAGAAGUUUCUAAGAGAAUGUGCUCAAAUGUUUACUGCCCCCCCUAGGAACAAUGAGAGAAAUACACGCCCGUUCCCUCGAAAAUUUCUCAACAUAGUGGAUCCAUUGAAGCAGAGUAACAAUCUUGGACGCAGUGUCAGCAAAGGUAACUUUUACAGAAUACGCAGUGCUUUUGAUCUUGGUGCCCGGAAGCUUGGAAAGAUCCUUCAAGUUCCUGCCAGUUCUAUUGUGGAUGAAGUCAAUCAGUUCUUCAGGAGCACACUGAAGAGAAACCUCGGCAGGGUACGCCCAGAUGUGCAAGGCACUGCAGUGAACUUGAACAUUGAAAGAGACAACAAGGGCUAUCCACCUUUACACAGUAAUCCAUGUGAGGAUCUAUCUUAUCAGCUCAGUAGUAUCAACAUUUCAGAUAAUCAUGGGUCUUUGAAGCAGGAGGAACAUAGCUCUAGCGGUGAGCACCAGGAAAUGAAAUCUGCUUCACAUCUUGUAACUAGUUCUUUAGUUAGUGUGAGCAAUGGGAUGUCAACGAAGGUGCACAAAGAGGUGGAUGGUGAUCGGUGUGCCACCAUUGACAAUUUAUCAGAUCUCACAGGGGACUACAGAACAAAUUUUAACAAUCUCCUCUAUUCACAGAGUUGCCAUCAAGACUAUCCAGUUCAUCCAAUUUACUAUCCAAUGCUUGCCCCACCACCUGUACAAUAUCAGAACAAACACUCACUGAAUGGUCAUAACAGAAAAAAUGCUUAUGGAUAUCCCAGUGCAAACAGAAUGGCCCCUGGUCCUUAUUCACCUGGCUACUUCUUCUUAAAGCCGUUUUAUCGCACUGAGGAUCCUAUGCAACCUCAUGGAGCAGUCACCUACUUCCCCGACCCAGAUAAUAUUCAUGGAAGGGGCUUUAUUCAUCCACAUGACAGUAAACUUGAGUUUGGGACCUUGGGGGCAUUGCACAUGGAAGUUAGGAGUGCUUCCCAAAAUCAAGCUAACAGACCAUAUUCUGCUUCUGACACUAAACCUUCUUCAACCCCGAGAUCGAACUCUCCUGGACAAAAUCCUGGAACGGGUUAUAGAUCUAAUGUAAUGAGGAAUACUAAGCCAUAUCAUCUCAAGGACAAUGGUGAUUUCCCACCACUAUCCAGUUGACGCGAUAUAUGGCUUACCGCAUAGCAGAGCUGUUGUUUUUUCUGAUCCAACCGGAAAAUACUGAUGUGUGGCGCACACUCAGUGCAGCCAUAGCAGAGGGUUUCUCUUCUAGUCAAGCAUCAUCAUGUACAUCCUAACUUGGUUCUCCAGUCGUCAGAUUCACCUUAUGCGGCGGCGACAAAUGCAAGCUUGCCCUGCAGUAACUGAAGUUUCAGCCCCUACCCCUCCUGGAAAACAGGACAUUUUGUGCCAUGUAGAACUGUAGAUACUUGGGGGCAAAAAUUUAUAUUUCCUUUCGCUUUCUUAAAGUUUUGGCGUUCCCCUUGAGUGGGGAACAGGAUGCAAAGAUGGAUAGAAAAAGGAGAGAAAAAGAGAUAGUUUAGACAUUCCGUUUUUACCUUGUGAGCAUUCGAGGAUUGCCCGGGAGCUCGCUCUUGUAGUGUUAAUCUGUCUGGGUCUUGACUUGCAACUGAAAGACCCCUUGCCCGAAGUAACAUUAGCUGCCUAGAAAUGAUAGGCGUUGCAUAUGUGAGAUUUUGGAGUUGCAGUUAAUACAUGGAAAGAAAUUUUGCUCGUGUUGUGCCUUGCCUUAUCAUUGUUGUUAAUUAUUUUAUAUUU
This 2938-nucleotide ribosomal RNA is filed under the name Triticum aestivum (bread wheat). RNAcentral describes it as "partial small subunit ribosomal RNA". Lineage: Eukaryota; Viridiplantae; Streptophyta; Magnoliopsida; Poales; Poaceae. The record is from RNAcentral.